GGGUAUGGCCAUAGCCAAUGUCCGGUAUGAUCAUCCAUUUCUUAGCAUUAACAUGUAAUGGUUGAAGGUAAGUAUUUAUGAAAAGAAAUACAAAAUAACAAUUAAGUAAUGUUUAUGAGGUAAAUAACAAAUACAUGUGAUCGAUCGUGGACAAUCAAUGAAUAACAUAGUUCUUCCAAUCGAUCGUAGAUUCCUAAUAAAUUUACGUAUUCAUCACGCCACUGAGUUAGCUCUUCAUAAAGUUGAUGUUUG
RNAcentral lists this long non-coding RNA (252 nucleotides) under Vigna radiata. RNAcentral's name for it is "long non-coding RNA (VRAD_LNC006895)". The record is from RNAcentral. Lineage: Eukaryota; Viridiplantae; Streptophyta; Magnoliopsida; Fabales; Fabaceae.